Chloropicon primus is the source of this 74-nucleotide non-coding RNA. The record is from the annotation of a GenBank genome assembly. NCBI's taxonomy places the organism in Eukaryota, Viridiplantae, Chlorophyta, Chloropicophyceae, Chloropicales, Chloropicaceae.
GUUCGCGUGGUGUAGUCGGUUAUCACGUUCGCCUCACACGCGAAAGGUCCCCGGUUCGAUUCCGGGCGUGAACA